Molecule: ribosomal RNA, 673 nt
Filed under: uncultured Nitrososphaerota archaeon
Lineage: Archaea; Thermoproteati; Nitrososphaerota
Description: bacterial SSU rRNA
Rfam family: Archaeal small subunit ribosomal RNA
Source: RNAcentral
GUGGCAUACGGCUCAGUAACACGUAGUCAACAUGCCCAGGGGACGUGGAUAACCUCGGGAAACUGAGGAUAAACCGCGAUAGGCCAUGAUUUCUGGAAUGGUUCAUGGCCGAAAUCUAUAUGGCCCCUGGAUUGGACUGCGGCCGAUCAGGCUGUUGGUGAGGUAAUGGCCCACCAAACCUGUAACCGGUACGGGCUCUGAGAGGAGGAGCCCGGAGAUGGGCACUGAGACAAGGGCCCAGGCCCUAUGGGGCGCAGCAGGCGCGAAAUCUCUGCAAUAGGCGAAAGCUUGACAGGGUUACUCUGAGUGGUUCCCGUUAAGGGGAUCUUUUGGCACCUUUAAAAAUGGUGCAGAAUAAGGGGUGGGCAAGUCUGGUGUCAGCCGCCGCGGUAAUACCAGCACCCCGAGUGGUCGGGACGAUUAUUGGGCCUAAAGCAUCCGUAGCCGGUACUGCAAGUCUUCCGUUAAAUCCACCUGCUUAACAGUUGGGCUGCGGGGGAUACUACAGCGCUAGGAGGCGGGAGAGGCAAGCGGUACUCAAUGGGUAGGGGUAAAAUCCGCUGAUCCAUUGAAGACCACCAGUGGCGAAGGCGGCUUGCCAGAACGCGCUCGACGGUGAGGGAUGAAAGCUGGGGGAGCAAACCGGAUUAGAUACCCGGGUAGUCCCAGCUGU